This 208-nucleotide ribosomal RNA is filed under the name uncultured bacterium. RNAcentral's name for it is "partial 16S ribosomal RNA". It matches the Rfam family "Bacterial small subunit ribosomal RNA", at positions 568 to 774 of the family's 1533-position model. The record is from RNAcentral.
CACGCAGGCGGUUUUUUAAGUCAGAUGUGAAAGGUACCGGCUCAACCGGUGACAUGCAUUUGAAACUGAAAGACUUGAGUAUUGGAGAGGCAAGUGGAAUUCCUAGUGUAGCGGUGAAAUGCGUAGAUAUUAGGAGGAACACCGGUGGCGAAGGCGGCUUGCUGGACAAAUACUGACGCUGAGGUGCGAAAGCGUGGGGAAGCAAACA